RNAcentral lists this long non-coding RNA (232 nucleotides) under Medicago truncatula (barrel medic). RNAcentral describes it as "lncRNA gene4893". Lineage: Eukaryota; Viridiplantae; Streptophyta; Magnoliopsida; Fabales; Fabaceae. The record is from RNAcentral.
UUUUGUGAACAUUAUUGUACAUAUACGUGAUAUUAUGUUGCUUUCCAAUAGGAUUAUUUACUGUGCAUGUUUUGUUAUAUUCAAUAAAUCCAGAUUGCUAACAUCACAGAAAUAUUUAGAAUUAUAAGAAGAAACCAACAAAAACACAAGAGGGCUGUGUUUAUAUAUGCUUUGGAUAAUGUAUUAUAGUGUUUGUUUUGGAUUCUUUUUGUAAAAGUUAUUUUAAUCACUU